AACGAACGCUGGCGGCAUGCCUAACACAUGCAAGUCGAACGAGACCUUCGGGUCUAGUCGCGCACGGGUGCGUAACGCGUGGGAAGCUGCCCUUAGGUUCGGAAUAACUCCCCGAAAGGGGUGCUAAUACCGGAUAAUGUCUUCGGACCAAAGAUUUAUUGCCUUUGGAUGGGCACGCGUUGGAUUAGCUAGUUGGUAGGGUAAAAGCCUACCAAGGCGACGAUCCAUAGCUGGUCUGUGAGGAUGAUCACCAACACUGGGACUAAGACACGGCCCAGACUCCUACGGGAGGCAGCAGUGGGGAAUAUUGCACAAUGGGCGGAAGCCUGAUCCAGCAAUGCCGCGUGAGUGAUGAAGGCCUUAGGGUUGUAAAGCUCUUUUACCCGGGAUGAUAAUGACAGUACCGGGAGAAUAAGCUCCGGCUAACUCCGUG
Molecule: ribosomal RNA, 433 nt
Filed under: uncultured bacterium
Lineage: Bacteria
Description: partial 16S ribosomal RNA
Rfam family: Bacterial small subunit ribosomal RNA
Source: RNAcentral